AGCAGCCGCGGUAAUUCCAGCUCCAAUAGCGUAUAUUAAAGUUGCUGCAGUUAAAAAGCUCGUAGUUGAAUUUCGGGGUCAAUUUACCGGUCGUGCCUAUGGUACGUACUGGUAUUGUUGAUUCCUCUCUUCUGAGGAGCCGCGAUGUCAUUAACUUGGUGUCGCGGGGAAUCAGGACUGUUACUUUGAAAAAAUUGAGUGUUUAAAGCAGGCUAACGCUUGAAUACAUUAGCAUGGAAUAAUGGAAUAGGACGUUUGAUUCUAUUUUGUUGGUUUCUAGGAUCGACGUAAUGAUUAAUAGGGAUAGUUGGGGGCAUUAGUAUUCAAUUGUCAGAGGUGAAAUUCUUGGAUUUAUUGAAGACUAACUACUGCGAAAGCAUUUGCCAAGGAUGUUUUCAUUAGUCAAGAACGAAAGUUAGGGGAUCGAAGACGAUCAGAUACCGUCGUAGUCUUAACCAUAAACUAUGCCGACUAGGGACCGGAUGAUUAAUUUUUUAAUGUACUCAUUUCGGCGCCUUAC
RNAcentral lists this ribosomal RNA (520 nucleotides) under uncultured Glomus. RNAcentral describes it as "SSU rRNA". It matches the Rfam family "Eukaryotic small subunit ribosomal RNA", at positions 569 to 1091 of the family's 1831-position model. The record is from RNAcentral. Lineage: Eukaryota; Fungi; Glomeromycota; Glomeromycetes; Glomerales; Glomeraceae.